AACACUGUUAACCUGCGGUACCUGCGGAAGGAUCAUUACCGAGUUUACAACUCCCAAACCCCUGUGAACAUACCAAUUGUUGCCUCGGCGGAUCAGCCCGCUCCCGGUAAAACGGGACGGCCCGCCAGAGGACCCCUAAACUCUGUUUCUAUAUGUAACUUCUGAGUAAAACCAUAGAUAAAUCAAAACUUUCAACAAUGGAUCU
Molecule: unclassified non-coding RNA, 205 nt
Filed under: soil metagenome
Description: partial contains 5.8S ribosomal RNA, internal transcribed spacer 2, and large subunit ribosomal RNA
Source: RNAcentral